This is an RNA transcript of Vitis vinifera (wine grape), 2616 nucleotides long. It is a transcript of the gene named L-ascorbate oxidase, with no coding region annotated. NCBI's taxonomy places the organism in Eukaryota, Viridiplantae, Streptophyta, Magnoliopsida, Vitales, Vitaceae. The record is from RefSeq and is a predicted model, not a curated record. The transcript has 7 exons.
UCCCACAAUUCGCAGUAGCUCCGCGUUUCAUAAUCUGUCUCAAAUUCUCAAGUUCUUUAAAGAACGUUGAAGAUGGGUGUGAUGAGAUUUUUGGCUCUGUUUAUUCUUCUCUUUUCAGUACUGAUUUUUCAAGCAGCAGAGGCAAGAAUCAGAAGGUAUAAAUGGGAGGUGAAGUAUGAGUACAAGUCUCCUGAUUGCUUCCAGAAGAUGGUUAUUACCAUCAAUGGACAAAGCCCCGGCCCAACAAUCCUGGCCGAAGAAGGAGACACCGUCAUUGUUGAGCUUACAAAUGGUUUAUUGACAGAAAAUGUCGCAAUCCACUGGCAUGGUAUCAGACAGAUUGGGACGCCAUGGUUUGAUGGAACAGAAGGCGUGACCCAGUGUCCAAUCCUGCCUGGAGAGACCUUCACAUACGAGUAUAAAGUGGAUAGGCCUGGGACUUAUCUAUACCAUGCCCAUUACGGAAUGCAAAGAGAAGCUGGGCUGUAUGGAUCGAUUCGUGUGUCGGUUGCUCGUGGGAAGACUGAACCCUUUUCCUAUGACUACGACCGGAGCAUCAUCCUCUCUGACUGGUACCAUAAUACCACUUAUGAACAAGUCCUGGGCUUGUCCUCCAUACCUUUUGACUGGAUCGGGGAGCCUCAGUCACUUCUGAUUCAAGGAAAAGGAAGAUACAACUGCUCUCUAGUUUCAAGUCCUUAUGUCUGUAAUGCAACAAGUCCUCAGUGUUCUCCCUAUGUACUCACUGUAGUUCCGGGGAAAACAUAUCGCCUUCGGGUCUCCAGCUUGACUUCCCUGUCAGCUCUCAGUUUCCAAAUAGAGGGUCACAACAUGACUGUUGUUGAAGCAGACGGGCACUUUGUGGAACCCUUUGUGAUAAAAAACCUCUUCAUUUACUCAGGGGAGACCUAUUCAGUUCUGGUGAAGGCUGAUCAAGACCCUUCAAGAAAUUACUGGGUCACAUCCAGUGUGGUCAGUAGGAACAACACUGUCACUCCUCCGGGCUUGGCCAUCUUCAAUUACUACCCCAACCAUCCCAACAAGUCUCCCCCAACAGUCCCACCCGCUGGCCCUCUUUGGAACGACGUAGAGCCGCGCAUCAACCAAAGUCGUGCCAUUAAGGCUCACCAUGACUAUGUUAUCCCCCCUCCUCUCACCUCAGACAGAGUAAUUCUGAUGCUCAACACACAGAAUGAGAUCAAUGGUUACAGGAAGUGGUCUGUGAACAAUGUGUCCUUCAACCUCCCACACACACCCUACCUAAUUGCUCUCAAGGAGAAUAUCAGUGGUGUCUUUGAUCCAACCCCUGCUCCAGAUUACUUUGACUUGGAAAAUUAUGAUAUUUAUACUAAGCCAAACAAUUCCAACGCCACGUCCAGCAACUCAAUUUAUAGGCUCAAGUUCAACACAACAGUGGACAUCAUACUGCAAAAUGCAAACACCAUGGUCGUGAAUAACAGUGAGACACAUCCAUGGCAUCUCCAUGGGCAUGACUUUUGGGUACUGGGCUAUGGGGAAGGCACGUUUAAUAUGUCCAGUGAUCCAAGAACCUACAAUCUGAUUAACCCAAUUAUGAAGAACACAGCACCUAUUCAUCCUUAUGGAUGGACUGCCUUAAGGUUUCGAUCUGAUAACCCAGGUGUCUGGGCAUUCCAUUGCCAUAUCGAAUCUCAUUUCUAUAUGGGUAUGGGAGUUGUUUUUGAAGAAGGGGUGGAGAGGGUUGGAAAGCUGCCUUCAUCUAUCAUAGGUUGCGGUAAAUCCAAGGGUCUCGGCGGUAGGCCAUAAUUUUUCUUCCCAAUUAUCAACUAAUUGAGGUGGAAUGUAUCUGUGGCCGCAACUAGAUGCCUUGAUUUGCAAAUGGUUGCGUCUUUGCGCUACUAUAGGGUCACAACAUGACCGUAGUUGAAGCAGAUGGGCACUUUGUGGAACCCUUUGUGAUAAAAAAAAACCUCUUCAUUUUCUCAGGGGAGACCUAUUCUGUUCUGGUGAAGGCUGAUCAAGACCCUUCAAGAAAUUACUGGGUCACAACCAGUGUGGUCAGUAGGAACAACAUUGUCACUCCUCCGGGCUUGGCCAUCUUCAAUUACUACCCCAACCAUCCCAACAAGUCUCCCCCAACAGUCCCACCCGCUGGCCCUCUUUGGAACGACGUCGUGUCGCGCCUCAACCAGAGUCGUGCCAUUAAGGCUCACCAUGACUAUGUUGUCCCCCCUCCUCUCACCUCAGACAGAGUAAGUCUGAUGCUCAACACACAGAAUGAGAUCAAUGGUUACAAGAGGUGGUCUGUGAAUAAUGUUUCGAUCUGAUAACCCAGGUGUCUGGGCAUUCCAUUGCCAUAUCGAGUCUCAUUUCUAUAUGGGUAUGGGAGUUGUUUUUGAAGAAGGGGUGGAGGGGGUGGGAAAGCUGUCUUCAUCUAUCAUGGGUUGCGGUAAAGCCAAGGGUCUCGGCGGUAGGCCAUAAUUUUUCUUCCCAAUUAUCGACUAAUUGAGGUAAAGUUUAAUUGUAUCACCUUUUCUAUAUUAUGUUGUCGAUAAUACGAAUUCUUUGUACUCUUGAAUGAUAAAAAUAGUUAGAAAGUGUUCACAUGGAUCUUGUAGUCCUGAAACACUUGUGAUA